This 390-nucleotide long non-coding RNA is filed under the name Salvia miltiorrhiza (redroot sage). RNAcentral describes it as "long non-coding RNA (SMIL_LNC004006)". Lineage: Eukaryota; Viridiplantae; Streptophyta; Magnoliopsida; Lamiales; Lamiaceae. The record is from RNAcentral.
CCCGUAUAGUAAGGAGAGAACAUCUACCACCUCAACGAAAGUAGUACUACUUAUUUACACAUCAAUCUCAACAACCGAAAACAAGCCACAUUUUGGCGAGAAAAACGAACCCUGCGAAAGUUAAGAAUCACACCACUAGAAAAAAUAUCGACAGUCAAAAGCAAGCCAGAUAUAUUUUGAAAGGCAAUGAAAUGCUUGCAUGUUCAUAAAAAGCUUCAAAACAAGAUCAAAUUCAAAUUAUCAUUGAAAGAAAUAAGACUCAUUCCGUAAAUUUAACUGGAACUUGGUGGAGAUCGUCGAACACUUUCCUAGUACAGUAGAUUAGGAUUAGAUCUCUCACAGUUGAAAGCACAAACCAAUAUCCCUUUCUUCCAUGAAGGUAGCCAGGGG